Molecule: long non-coding RNA, 271 nt
Filed under: Gossypium barbadense (sea-island cotton)
Lineage: Eukaryota; Viridiplantae; Streptophyta; Magnoliopsida; Malvales; Malvaceae
Description: long non-coding RNA (GBAR_LNC006129)
Source: RNAcentral
CUCACAGACCUUUCAUCAAACACGAAGCAUCCCCAUUAGAGAUGAUGAAUUCCUAAAAGAACAAUAAGCUUUUUUAAGCUAAUACAUCAUAUAAAUGUAAACCCAGAACUUAAAUGCAUGAGAUUUAAAGCAUGAACAAAACCUGAAACAUGCAAAAAAGAAAAAAAGAAAAAAUUGUUUCAAGCUUUUAAUCUCUUAAACAGUGGCGGAGCAUAGUAGAGACCUAGAGAGCCAUGGUCACUUAAAAUAAUAAAUUUUUAGUUUAAAUUUU